Molecule: ribosomal RNA, 207 nt
Filed under: uncultured bacterium
Lineage: Bacteria
Description: partial 16S ribosomal RNA
Rfam family: Bacterial small subunit ribosomal RNA
Source: RNAcentral
UGCGUAGGUGGCCAGGUAAGUUUGGUGUGAAAGCUCGGAGCUUAACUUCGAAAAGGCAUUGAAUACUACUUGGCUGGAGGAUCGGAGGGGAGACUGGAAUUCUCGGUGUAGCAGUGAAAUGCGUAGAUAUCGAGAGGAACACCAGUGGCGAAGGCGAGUCUCUGGACGAAUCCUGACACUGAGGCACGAAAGCUAGGGGAGCAAACA